Molecule: ribosomal RNA, 249 nt
Filed under: uncultured bacterium
Lineage: Bacteria
Description: partial 16S ribosomal RNA
Rfam family: Bacterial small subunit ribosomal RNA
Source: RNAcentral
GAUCAUGGCUCAGGACGAACGCUGGCGGCGUGCUUAACACAUGCAAGUCGAACGCUGAAGGCUCAGCUUGCUGGGCUGGAUGAGUGGCGAACGGGUGAGUAACACGUGAGUAACCUGCCCUCUUCUUUGGGAUAACGGUCGGAAACGGCUGCUAAUACCGGGUAUUCACUGUCCUUCGCAUGGGGGUGGUGGAAGGUUUUCUUGGUGGGGGAGUGGGCGUCGCGGCCUAUCAGCUUGUUGGUGGGGUGG